AGAGUUUGAUCCUGGCUCAGGACGAACGCUGGCGGCGUGCUUAACACAUGCAAGUCGAGCGAGAAAGCCCCUUCGGGGGUGAGUACAGCGGCGAACGGGUGAGUAACACGUGGGUAACCUGCCCCAGAGACUGGGAUAACGUCCCGAAAGGGACGCUAAUACCGGAUAACGCGCGAUCUGCCAAGUAGGUCGCGCCAAAUGGUAGCCUCGGCCUCUGCUCUGGGAUGGGCCCGCGCCGGAUUAGCUUGUUGGUGAGGUAACGGCUCACCAAGGCUACGAUCCGUAGCUGGUCUGAGAGGACGAUCAGCCACACUGGGACUGAGACACGGCCCAGACUCCUACGGGAGGCAGCAGUGGGGAAUCUUGCGCAAUGGGCGAAAGCCUGACGCAGCAACGCCGCGUGAGCGAAGACGGCCUUCGGGUUGUAAAGCUCUGUCAGGAGGGACGAAGCCACUCGGGUGAAUAGCCUAGAGGGUGACGGUACCUCCAGAGGAAGCCCCGGCUAACUACGUGCCAGCAGCCGCGGUAAUACGUAGGGGGCGAGCGUUGUCCGGAAUCAUUGGGCGUAAAGCGCGUGUAGGCGGCCGAUCAAGUCCGAUGUGAAAGCUCGGGGCUCAACCCCGAGUCUGCAUUGGAAACUGAUCGGCUUGAGUCCGGAAGAGGAGACUGGAAUUCCUGGUGUAGCGGUGAAAUGCGCAGAUAUCAGGAAGAACACCGGUGGCGAAGGCGGGUCUCUGGGACGGUACUGACGCUGAGACGCGAAAGCGUGGGGAGCAAACAGGAUUAGAUACCCUGGUAGUCCACGCCGUAAACGAUGGGCACUAGGUGUGGGAGGUGUCGACUCCUUCCGUGCCGUAGCUAACGCAUUAAGUGCCCCGCCUGGGGAGUACGGCCGCAAGGCUAAAACUCAAAGGAAUUGAUGG
Molecule: ribosomal RNA, 923 nt
Filed under: uncultured bacterium
Lineage: Bacteria
Description: bacterial SSU rRNA
Rfam family: Bacterial small subunit ribosomal RNA
Source: RNAcentral